GUGGCUUUACAUGCUUUAGAGAUUCAUGCUUUGUAUUAUAUAUACGUGGAGCUUGAUGUGAACGUAUUAGCCUACAUUAAAUUUAGUUCCCCUCGCUAUCCUGUUCUUCAAUUACAAUGAUGUUUCUCAGGACGUCGGUGAACAAUAGUU
Brassica napus (rape) is the source of this 150-nucleotide non-coding RNA. Lineage: Eukaryota; Viridiplantae; Streptophyta; Magnoliopsida; Brassicales; Brassicaceae. The record is from Rfam.